Small nucleolar RNA from Gossypium arboreum, 107 nucleotides. It matches the Rfam family "Plant small nucleolar RNA R71". From Rfam's summary of the family: R71 is a member of the C/D box family of snoRNAs containing the C (UGAUGA) and D (CUGA) box motifs. Multiple nearly identical copies of this snoRNA have been identified in Arabidopsis, and it is thought to function as a 2'-O-ribose methylation guide for 18S ribosomal RNA. The record is from Rfam. NCBI's taxonomy places the organism in Eukaryota, Viridiplantae, Streptophyta, Magnoliopsida, Malvales, Malvaceae.
AUUCCGUAAUAAGGGCACUUUCGUAAUAAUUCUUUGUACCUUUCCCAUGCCUCAUACAAGGACUCAUCAUCCAUUUGUUGGAAAGGAGUGAUCUCGUUCCUCAACUU